GUCGAACGCUGGCGGCGUGCUUAACACAUGCAAGUCGAACGGAAAGGCCCUGCUUUUGUGUGGUGCUCGAGUGGCGAACGGGUGAGUAACACGUGAGUAACCUGCCCUUGACUUUGGGAUAACUUCAGGAAACUGGGGCUAAUACCUGCUAGGAGCUCCUGCUGCAUGGUGGGGGUUGGAAAGUUUCGGUGGUUGGGGAUGGACUCGCGGCUUAUCAGCUUGUUGGUGGGGUAGUGGCUUACCAAGGCUUUGAUGGGUAGCCGGCCUGAGAGGGUGACCGGCCACAUUGGGACUGAGAUACGGCCCAGACUCCUACGGGAGGCAGCAGUGGGGAAUAUUGCACAAUGGGCGGAAGCCUGAUGCAGCAACGCCGCGUGCGGGAUGACGGCCUUCGGGUUGUAAACCGCUUUCGCCUGUGACGAAGCGUGAGUGACGGUAAUGGGUAAAGAAGCACCGGCUAACUACGUG
This 468-nucleotide ribosomal RNA is filed under the name uncultured bacterium. Its description in RNAcentral is "partial 16S ribosomal RNA". It matches the Rfam family "Bacterial small subunit ribosomal RNA", at positions 28 to 507 of the family's 1533-position model. The record is from RNAcentral.